This 86-nucleotide transfer RNA is filed under the name Psittacicella melopsittaci. RNAcentral's name for it is "Bisgaard taxon 44 str. B96_4 tRNA-Leu". It matches the Rfam family "tRNA". Rfam says of the family: Transfer RNA (tRNA) molecules are approximately 80 nucleotides in length. Their secondary structure includes four short double-helical elements and three loops (D, anti-codon, and T loops). Further hydrogen bonds mediate the characteristic L-shaped molecular structure. tRNAs have two regions of fundamental functional importance: the anti-codon, which is responsible for specific mRNA codon recognition, and the 3' end, to which the tRNAs corresponding amino acid is attached (by aminoacyl-tRNA synthetases). tRNAs cope with the degeneracy of the genetic code in two manners: having more than one tRNA (with a specific anti-codon) for a particular amino acid; and 'wobble' base-pairing, i.e. permitting non-standard base-pairing at the 3rd anti-codon position. Lineage: Bacteria; Pseudomonadati; Pseudomonadota; Gammaproteobacteria; Pasteurellales; Psittacicellaceae. The record is from RNAcentral.
GCAGGUAUGGUGGAAUUGGUAGACACGCUAUCUUGAGGGGGUAGUGCACAUUGUGCGUGUGAGUUCAAAUCUCACUAUCUGCACCA